ACGAACGCUGGCGGCGUGCUUAACACAUGCAAGUCGAACGGUGAAGCGCCUUCCUUUUUGGUGGGUGUGGAUGAGUGGCGAACGGGUGAGUAACACGUGAGUAACCUGCCCCCUUCUUCUGGAUAACCGCAUGAAAGUGUGGCUAAUACGGGAUAUUCUGGGUCUGUCGCAUGAUGGGUCUGGGAAAGAUAUUGUUUCGGUGGGGGAUGGGCUCGCGGCCUAUCAGCUUGUUGGUGGGGUGAUGGCCUACCAAGGCGGUGACGGGUAGCCGGCCUGAGAGGGUGGACGGUCACACUGGGACUGAGGCACGGCCCAGACUCCUACGGGAGGCAGCAGUGGGGAAUAUUGCACAAUGGGCGAAAGCCUGAUGCAGCGACGCCGCGUGAGGGAUGGAGGCCUUCGGGUUGUGAACCUCUUUCGCCAGUGAAGCAGGCCUGCCUCGUUUGUGGGUGGGUUGACGGUAGCUGGAUAAGAAGCGCCGGCUAACUACGUG
This 493-nucleotide ribosomal RNA is filed under the name uncultured bacterium. Its description in RNAcentral is "partial 16S ribosomal RNA". It matches the Rfam family "Bacterial small subunit ribosomal RNA", at positions 29 to 507 of the family's 1533-position model. The record is from RNAcentral.